AGGCGUGCUUAACACAUGCAAGUCGAACGGAAAGGCCCUUUUUUUGUGGGGUGCUCGAGUGGCGAACGGGUGAGUAACACGUGAGUAACCUGCCCUUGACUUUGGGAUAACUUCAGGAAACUGGGGCUAAUACCGGAUAGGAGCUCCUGCUGCAUGGUGGGGGUUGGAAAGUUUCGGCGGUUGGGGAUGGACUCGCGGCUUAUCAGCUUGUUGGUGGGGUAGUGGCUUACCAAGGCUUUGACGGGUAGCCGGCCUGAGAGGGUGACCGGCCACAUUGGGACUGAGAUACGGCCCAGACUCCUACGGGAGGCAGCAGUGGGGAAUAUUGCACAAUGGGCGGAAGCCUGAUGCAGCAACGCCGCGUGCGGGAUGACGGCCUUCGGGUUGUAAACCGCUUUCGCCUGUGACGAAGCGUGAGUGACGGUAAUGGGUAAAGAAGCACCGGCUAACUACGUGCCAGCAGCCGCGGUGAUACGUAGGGUGCGAGCGUUGUCCGGAUUUAUUGGGCGUAAAGGGCUCGUAGGUGGUCGAUCGCGUCGGAAGUGUAAUCUUGGGGCUUAACCCUGAGCGUGCUUUCGAUACGGGUUGACUUGAGGAAGGUAGGGGAGAAUGGAAUUCCUGGUGGAGCGGUGGAAUGCGCAGAUAUCAGGAGGAACACCAGUGGCGAAGGCGGUUCUCUGGGCCUUUCCUGACGCUGAGGAGCGAAAGCGUGGGGAGCGAACAGGCUUAGAUACCCUGGUAGUCCACGCUGUAAACGGUGGGUACUAGGUGUGGGGUCCAUUCCACGGGUUCCGUGCCGUAGCUAACGCUUUAAGUACCCCGCCUGGGGAGUACGGCCGCAAGGCUAAAACUCAGAGGAAUUGACGGGGCCCCGCACAAGCGGCGGAGCAUGCGGAUUAAUUCGAUGCAACGCGUAGAACCUUACCUGGGUUUGACAUGGAUCGGGAGUGCUCAGAGAUGGGUGUGCCUCUUUUGGGGUCGGUUCACAGGUGGUGCAUGGCUGUCGUCAGCUCGUGUCGUGAGAUGUUGGGUUAAGUCCCGCAACGAGCGCAACCCUUGUUCACUGUUGCCAGCACGUUAUGGUGGGGACUCAGUGGAGACCGCCGGGGUCAACUCGGAGGAAGGUGGGGAUGACGUCAAGUCAUCAUGCCCCUUAUGUCCAGGGCUUCACGCAUGCUACAAUGGCUGGUACAGAGAGUGGCGAGCCUGUGAGGGUGAGCGAAUCUCGGAAAGCCGGUCUCAGUUCGGAUUGGGGUCUGCAACUCGACCUCAUGAAGUCGGAGUCGCUAGUAAUCGCAGAUCAGCAACGCUGCGGUGAAUACGUUCCCGGGGCUUGUACACACCGCCCGUCAAGUCAUGGAAGUUGGUAACACCCGAAGCCGGUGGCCUAACCGUUGUAGGGGAGCCGUCGAAGGUGGGACUGGUGAU
Molecule: ribosomal RNA, 1428 nt
Filed under: uncultured organism
Description: partial small subunit ribosomal RNA
Rfam family: Bacterial small subunit ribosomal RNA
Source: RNAcentral